CCAGCAGCCGCGGUAAUACGUAGGUGGCAAGCGUUGUCCGGAUUUACUGGGCGUAAAGCGUGUGUAGGCGGACCUUUAAGUAGAAAGUGAAAGGUAGGAGCUCAACUCCUACAUUGCUUUCUAUACUGGAGGUCUUGAGUGUCGGAGAGGAAGAUGGAACUGCACGUGUAGCGGUGAAAUGCGUUGAGAUGUGCAGGAACACCAAUGGCGAAGGCAAUCUUCUGGACGAAAACUGACGCUGAGACACGAAAGCCAAGGUAGCGAACAGGAUUAGAUACCCUGGUAGUCUUGGCCCUAAACUAUGUUCACUAGGUGUCGGGGGUUUCCCUCGGUGCCGCAGCUAACGCAUUAAGUGAACCGCCUGGGGACUACGGCCGCAAGGUUGAAACUCAAAGGAAUUGGCGGGGGCCCGCACAAGCGGUGGAGCAUGUGGCUUAAUUCGAUGCAACGCGAAGAACCUUACCAGGGCUUGACAUGCUACUGCAAGCUGCCGAAAAGCAGUCGCCUUCGAGGGGUGUAGCACAGGUGGUGCAUGGCUGUCGUCAGCUCGUGUUGUGAAAUGUUGGGUUAAGUCCCGCAACGAGCGCAACCCUCAUGUUUUGUUACCAGCGGGUCAUGCCGGGAACUCGAAACAAACUGCUUCUGUAAGGAGGAGGAAGGUGGGGAUGACGUCAAGUCAUCAUGCCCCUUACGCCCUGGGCUGCACACAUGCUACAAUGGCCGGUACAAUGGGGUGCGAAACCGCGAGGUGGAGCCAAUCUCAAAAAGCCGGUCUCAGUUCGGAUUGGAGUCUGCAACUCGACUCCAUGAAGUUGGAAUCGCUAGUAACCGCAGGUCAGCAAUGCUGCGGUGAAUACGUUCCCGGGCCUUGCACACACCGCCCGUCACAUGACGGAAGUUGGCCUUACCCGAAGUCAGUGCGCUAACCGCAAGGAAGCAGCUGCCGAAGGUAGAGUCGGCGACUGGCGUGAAGUCGUAACAAGGUAACCAA
This 991-nucleotide ribosomal RNA is filed under the name uncultured candidate division WYO bacterium. RNAcentral's name for it is "bacterial SSU rRNA". It matches the Rfam family "Bacterial small subunit ribosomal RNA", at positions 508 to 1503 of the family's 1533-position model. The record is from RNAcentral.